Molecule: long non-coding RNA, 1257 nt
Organism: Rosa rugosa (rugosa rose)
Lineage: Eukaryota; Viridiplantae; Streptophyta; Magnoliopsida; Rosales; Rosaceae
Exons: 2
Source: RefSeq, a predicted model, not a curated record
UCAAGUAGAUGAGAAGGAGCCACCGCAUUGAAUCUUUGAAAACCUGAGUCGACAUGUUGUCCUCCUGUUUUUUUGGUCAGAACAUGUUCUCUUCAAACCACACUUCUAUCGCAAAAUUAGACCUCUUUAUCUCUCUUGAAGCUCUUGAGAAAAUCAGUGAAAUGUAUGGAACCCAGCUGAAUUUCUAGUCCAUUCAACCUAAAUUGAGAGAAAGCUACGAGAUGAAAACUUUUUCAGGAGUUGUUUCCGUUAGCCAAUUUCGAGGGUUAGAAACUACAAUUUCUGAUCUUCAUUUCAUAAUGACUUCUACAUGAAAAUUGUUCAAAAUCGUUUCUUAUUUUCGUUGAUCGAAAAUCAUCAUGAUCCAACUGUUAAUUCGUUCUCAAUCAAGGUGAGAUCACUUACUGUUUGAUGAAAAUUCUGUUAUGAGAUUCCACUGAUCUUUGAUUCUAAUUCGAGUUUUUACGCCAUAUCUCCUUUCAAAUUCAAUCUGUCCUUGCAAUGGGUUGUAUCCCUACAUUGAUAAUGAGUUCAAUUCAUGAAAUAUCAUCUUCCAUCUUGAGCCAAAAUUCAGAAAUUUGAUGAUCGCAUGAGUGCACAAGAGAAAUCGAGGCCUUUGAUAUUGUCAUCUUCGAGACAUAAGAGAAUUCUCAUAUAUAUAUGUGAUGAUGUCUGUUGAUGCAUUCUGCAUAGAUGAUUUUGGGAUUCCAAGACUGGCCUCUCCCAAAUCCUCGCCUCUCCGAAUUCACCGAGUUCUGCUGGAUCGACGACACCGAUCCAAGUCCAAGCUCACCGAGGACAAAAUCGACAAGAAAAUCAAGGACUAAAUCGGAUUCCGGUGCCGGUGGACUUACAACAGAAGAAUCGGAAGGAACAGGUGGAUAGGAUUAUGGAGUCGUCGGUGUUCUUCUUGAGCACUGGGACUUCGACAAGAGAAUCAAGGACCAAAUCGGAUUCCGGUGCCCAAAGAGAGAGAGAAUCCUAGUUUAGUUUUUUCAUCAAUCUUAAAGAGACGGAUUUACCCCUGAAAAAUUGACCGAAAGCACACUAAAUAACGGAGAUUGUAAUGGCGUGUAUAUAUUUUGGGUCGGGACUUUAAGUUCAUGUACCGAAAUGAUUGGUUUGAAACAUAAUGUACCGAAGUUCAGAGUCACCCAUUUGUCGUAUACUGUUGUUAAAAAUUUCCCUUCUUGUUUUUUAAGAGAAAAGAAAAAAUUAUAUUAAGUAUUCACAAGAUCUUGAGAUCUUUCUCACUCA